CGGUCCCGCCUCCAUGCCCAUCCCAAGAUGGCGGAGAUCCCCCUGUACUUUGUGGACUUGCAGGAUGACUUAGACGACUAUGGAUUUGAAGACUAUGGUACAGAUUGCGACAACAUGAGAGUAACGGCCUUCUUGGACAUUCCAGGCCAGGAUAACCUGCCUCCACUCACUCGCCUGGAGAAGUAUGCUUUCAGCGAGAACACCUUCAACCGGCAGAUUAUUGCCAGAGGGCUGCUUGAUAUCUUCCGGGACUUCGGUAACAAUGAAGAAGACUUCCUCACGGUAAUGGAGAUUGUAGUCAGAUUGUCAGAAGAUGCAGAGCCCACAGUGCGGACUGAGCUGAUGGAACAGAUUCCUCCUAUUGCCAUUUUUUUACAAGAAAACAGAUCAAAUUUUCCAGUGGUGCUCUCUGAAUAUCUCAUACCUAUUGUAGUGAGGUACCUCACAGAUCCAAACAAUCAGAUAAUCUGCAAAAUGGCUUCAAUGCUGAGUAAGAGUACCGUUGAACGCCUGCUACUCCCCCGAUUCUGUGAACUGUGUGGUGACAGGAAGCUCUUUCAAGUUCGGAAGGUUUGUGCUGCAAAUUUUGGUGAUAUUUGUCAUGCUGUUGGACAAGAAGCCACUGAGAAAUUUUUGAUCCCAAAGUUCUUUGAGCUCUGCUCUGAUGCUGUUUGGGGCAUGCGGAAAGCCUGUGCAGAAUGCUUCACGGCUGUGUCGCACAGCUCCUCCCCUGGGGUCCGCAGAACCCAGCUCUUCCCGCUCUUCAUCAGACUUGUCAGCGACCCCUGCCGAUGGGUGCACCAGGCUGCCUUCCAGUCCCUCGGCCCCUUCACUUCCACCUUUGCAAACCCCUCCAGGGCUGGCCUUUAUCUUCGAGAGGAUGGCGCCCUGAGCAUCUGGCCACUCACCCAGGAUUUGGACUCUGGUUUUGCCUCUGGCUCCCCUGCUCCCAGCAGUGGUGGUAACACUUCCCCUGCCAGGUAUGCUCUGGCUAGGGUCACCACCAGGACCCUCGAUGUACCUUAAGCACCCACCUAAAAUUUCAGCAAUUAUCUUGUCUCGAGUUUUAGUAGUGACCUUCUGGGCAAGAUGGAAUAUUAGAGCUUUAAUUAUGUAAAGAAGCAAAAAGUAAUUGCAAUAAUGAUUUUGAAACAUGACUACUGGGUUAUAAAUAAUGAAGCUACUAUGUCUCCUAAAUUUAGAUAAAAUAUUCAUUGAGAUUAGUGAUUAAAUAACCUAUAAAGAACAUUUUCUCUUACUUUUUGAUGAAUGAAGUUCUCUGGGUAAUUUACUUAGGGAAAAAUGUGAAGUCUCCCAAAUGUACUUUUUUGGAGGUUGGGUUACAUGUACAUAAAGGCGACACUCCUGACCAACAGCGGUAGACCCUCCAGUGUUUGCUAAUAUGGCGCUGGAUCUUGGCUUUGUCAUGUCUUUCCUCUGAGGCUGAUGCGUAUACACCAGCCAUCCUAUUUGAGGUCGUUUGUAAAUGUCUCUCCAUUGUCGCUAGCGUGCAGGCAUGUGAGAGUGGGUAACUGAUGCCUCACAGAAUACAAAUCCUUCCGAGGUUGGCCCAUCCUCCCUCCAUCCCACUUCCAUCAGAGUUCAUUGAGCUCCUGCUGUAUGGCAGGCCCAUGGGCAGUGUCUUCCUCAAGACCUCAAAGUGGUUAACAAAUAGCCACCUCUUACCAGUUUCAGCGCCUUUUGUUUUCUAAUGCCUGCCCUCUGGUGGAGGUACUCAUGAGCAGGAAAUGGAUGAAAUGUACCGAAGGUGCUCCAGCGGAAGUCCAGGCCGGCUCAGCCCUGGAGUAUAGUGGAGAGAACGGCUGAACUUUCAAGUGGUGUUUUCAGUGCCCAUCAUACUCCCGGCGGGGCAGUGGGGGUUGACAAACCUCUUAUCCUCUCGUGAGAUUUUAGUCAGCUGACACCAGGAGACACAAAGAGGGGCCAGUGGUCAGCUAGGAAGUAGAGGACUGGGUGAGGAUGUGGUUCUCAUGUUUUUCCCUGUGGCUUUCAGUCUGUUACACAGUAUUAAAAGUUUGCUUCCCUCAGUUUAACUCGUUCAGCAAAGCCUGUGCGGAGCGAGCCAGAGCUACCUGUGGAAGGGACCUCAGCGAAAACCAGUGAUUGCCCACACAGCAGUAGCUCCUCUGACGGCCCAGCGGAAAGCCCUGUGGAAAGCUGUGUGUCGGCUGGAGCUGAGUGGACCAGGGUUUCCCCAGAGACCAGCGCCUGCUCAAAGCUUUCUGACAUGAAUGACCUCCCCAUCAGCAGCUACCCUGGAUCAGAUUCCUGGGCCUGCCCAGGGAACACUGAGGAUGUGUUCAGUCAUUUUCUUUAUUGGUGAACUCCUCUCCCUGACAUAAGCAAGGACUUAGAGCUGCUUCUGAGUGAGGCUGGGCCUCAGGAGGACGACUGCAGCAGACCUGGGGUUGUGCACAACAGCUGUGUGGCCCGGAGUGAGAUUCAGAAAGUCCUUGGUAGCUUGCAGGAGCAUCUGAUGAAUGAUCCAGAUGUUCAAGCUCAAGUUCAGGUAUUAUCCGCUGCACUGAGAGCUGCACAGCUCGACUGCGUGAAUGAAGCUGAGAGCAAGCCAACAGCAGGCCUAAAGGAAGUGUCCAUUUCACAUCCCAGCUCUGCCUCUGACAAUCAGAUCGCUCUGGCGGCCUCAUCAUCUCAGGAUGAGCUCUUUGUGGCCAGGAUAUUACAAAGCCCAGUAAGUAUUUGCCGUAUCCCUCAGCCACCGAGGAUGUGACAGAAAUCACAAAGCAGCAUUUUCUCUUAUUAAUAUAUCCCAGCAGAGAUGAUAAAUGGCAAAUUUCAUUUUAUUCUUAAGGUCAUGUUUUGGAUAACUAGACAACCAAUCAAUCAGGUGAUUGAUAGUGCCGACGCGCUCCCACGAAGACGGGUGGGCACCAGAAAGUACCUUCCCUCUUCUCCAGAGAUGACAAGAACUUCUUCUUUGGGGAGGUUAACCAUGUAAAUGCUCUGUGUCACUGCUAACAGACAUCAACAUCUUUUAAUAAUAGUGGAGGGUGAAUUCAGGCAGUUCCUGGAAUUUCAAGUGGACGAGGCCUCCCAGAGCAGCUGUCACACCAGCCGCCCAUUUGGUAGGCGCUCUGGCAUACGUGGAUGCUCCAGUGCUGGUCCUGGCAUGCUGUUUCUCUUUCUUUUGAAAAAGCACCAGUGACCCCCUUCCUCCUGUGGGUGGAACCAGCCCCUUGUGAGACCACGGCCCCAAAGCUGGAGUGAAGAGGGGCCCAUGAUUUAUUUCUUCAGGUUUCUCCAGGAGCUUGGGUCAACCCCUUGUAGCUGGAGGUUCUUGAGCUGUCCUAGUUUCUACUAAGCUUCCACUUGGACCACUUUAAGUUGGGGUCUUCCACAGGUAGGGGGGCAGAAUGGAGGAUUAAAAUGAGGGAGGAGUCUGUGGUCAUACAGUCAUUGGGAUAGCACCGUGUCAUUAUCAUGUGCCAUGAUGGAUAAUCUCUUCAAUCUCAUGGUCUCCAGGGCCUAAAUACCAGUUGUUUCUCUAUUCAUACAGUUUAGAACUUGAUUUCAGUGAUUAACACCUCCCUUACCCCUUAGGCCUGCUCUAAUAAAGCAAAAUAAAACAUUUUAGAACUCAAACAUAAAAUGUGUAGGAGUUGGUUAUCUGUGAUUAAUAAGAAAUGGGGUGAUAUCCUCUUCUGCUGGUUUGUUGCUAAAAAAAUUAGCAAGAAAGCUCAUUAUUGUCAACCUUGUUACCUAGAGUGCAAAAGUUGCAAGUGUUAAGUAGAAGGGUGUGACCACAUUUACCUUGGUGGGGAUGUGAUAGUAUUUGGACUUCUUUAUCAUAGAGGUGAAAAAAAAAAAAAAGAA
Molecule: long non-coding RNA, 3855 nt
Organism: Homo sapiens (human)
Lineage: Eukaryota; Metazoa; Chordata; Mammalia; Primates; Hominidae
Source: Ensembl